AGGACGAUGUGCCUUUUACUCGAGCCAUGGGGUGGGCCAGCAGUCACGGGACAGGGCAGUGGCUGUGUCCUGCUCUGGCUCUGUCCCUGACCUUUGGAAACUGUUCUGCCUGAGCCUCACGUCCCUCUUCAGUAAAACGGCUCUUGCAAGCAUGAGGUUUACUUCACAUUUCUAAAGUGCUUUGAAGGAUUGCAAGCCAAUUCCAGAAGCAGCCAGGAAGAAGAAACGGCAUAGCCGGGAGAAUGCGUUACGUGGGCUUCUUCUUCAAAAUGGCAUGAAAUCAAGAGGGAUUUCCCAACAGCCUUUCAAGGGGUCUGAAAUCUGAAAUCCAGCCCACAGAAACAACAUGAGGAAAUCUGACACGGCGUGAGCACUGUACUGGUGUGUUUUUUCCUAGGAAGUUCACCACCUG
Molecule: long non-coding RNA, 412 nt
Organism: Onychostruthus taczanowskii (white-rumped snowfinch)
Lineage: Eukaryota; Metazoa; Chordata; Aves; Passeriformes; Passeridae
Exons: 3
Source: RefSeq, a predicted model, not a curated record